Long non-coding RNA from Solanum pennellii, 1103 nucleotides. RefSeq lists it as uncharacterized. The transcript is spliced from 3 exons. NCBI's taxonomy places the organism in Eukaryota, Viridiplantae, Streptophyta, Magnoliopsida, Solanales, Solanaceae. The record is from RefSeq and is a predicted model, not a curated record.
CGGAGCAUGGUAAAAAUGGGCUAGGUGAAGCUGAACAACCAUUAGAGGAAGAAAAUGGUGAUUCUCUUUACUUUGAAGAGGAUGACUUAGAUGAUGUUCCAGAUCAUGAUGACAGUUAAAUUGAUGAAGAACUGAGAGCUUUUAGAGAAAAACUUAGGGAAGACAAAAAGAAUGAAGCUGCAAAGCAAAAAAAGAGAACUAAAAAAACCUCAAAUGAUCAAGGUGUUGAGCUUGGAGAAGUUGGCAUAGAUAAGGGAUUUGAAAAUAUCUUCACCAAUAAUGCAGCCAAAUAUAAUGAAAAAUUGGGAGGUGAUGAAGUGUUUCUUGAUUCAUCAGAUGAACCAAGUGAAGAUAGUGAUGAAGAGCUAGAUAUUUUAGCACAAUCGGGUGUUGAUUUACCUUCAAGAAGAAAAAGCAACAAACUGAGCCCUCUGAACAGCCCACACAACAGUCUAUAAGGCCUUUUCAACAACCACCAGUGAUGCAGCCUUCACAAUCACCGUUGAGGCAGCCUAGCACUGGAAAUGUCUCUUCUUUAUAUGCAGAUACUUCAAAGGUUAAAGGAAGAAAAAAGAAGCAGUCAACUGCAAGGGCAACAUUUUCUUCAACUGAAUGGAUAUUAUCUUCUUCAGUUGGAAUGCCACCACCUUCUUCAGUUGGAAGGCCACCAACUUCUUUAGUUGGAAUGCAACCAACUCCUUCAGUUGGAAGAAAAAGAACAAGAGAUGUAUACUAAAUAAUGACCUAUGGAUUAUGCAACCAGUGAAAUCAAGUGAAAGAGUUAUCACAAGUGGAACAAGGGUAGCAUUUAAAGAUGCAUCACAAACAAAUGUUGAUCUUGGAUUCAAGCCACCUAGUUUAAAAUGGAAAGGAAAAGAUGCAAUGACUGAAAAAUCAACUUCAAUAAUUGUCAAAGACAAAGGUGCAAAGCAAAUCCAAGGGAAAGUGGGUUCCAUAAGAGCUCGAAGUCUUAAUGAUGUGUAUAAAUGUUGAUCUAGGAGGUCUUUGUUUUGUUUAUUUUGAUAACUAUUUGUAAAGGCAUACUCCAAUUACUGAUCAUUUUGAUGUAUUUUGUUAUUUUGAUGUAUGUUUGCAUAGACAAA